AUGUGAUUAAAGAUGUGUUCUCUGAUUGGCUGCCGGCAGCGUUUCGGAUUAACAUUGUAAAUAUUCUUCAGUAACUUUGGAAAUGAUCAUUUGUGAGUUUCAUAGUUUGGGAUUUUGGGAUCGUGGGCCUGUGCUGCCGUCUCCCAGCUGCUCCGCGGCUCGUUAACUAUUGACACGGUGUCCCUGCAGGCGGCCGCCCGCUCACCGGAGGCCUGGAGCGGCCUGUCCCGGCCUGGGCGGCCGCCUGCAGCCCUCCUGCGCUCCGACAGGGGGCAGUGCAGCUGAAACUGUCCAUGGUGCUGAAAACUGGGCCGAUUCUGUUGGUUGCCGAACACCUCGGGGGGCAACUGGACUCCGUCUGAGCCGCCGUCGCUCGUCAGCCGACAGAUGAUGAGAAGAUUGAGGCUGAAGCAUCGCUGAAGCAGCAUCAAAAUGAGUCAGGACGUGACAGAGACCAGAACACGAACUCGAUCCAAAGGGAUCCGCGCAUCAUCAGAACUGGCAGCACAGGAGAUGAAGCCAGAGUUGAGCAGCUGCCCCACCCCCGGCUGUGACGGCAAAGGUCACGUCAGUGGGCGAUACUCACGUCACAGAAGCGUGCCCAGCCGGUCAAACAGGCGGCAGGAGAAGACUUCACCCACGACACCUCAGACGAGGAGGAGGAAGAGGAGGAGGGAGAGGAGGAAGGAGAGGAGGAGGCAGAGGAGGAGGAGGAGCUGAGAGAAAAGAAGAAACCCACCUCAAAGAUCAGAGCAGAAGCAACAAAAGCAGAAAGUUCACCAGCAGGAGCUCCACCAGACUCAGAGGUUUGUUCUGCAGAUGAUGGAGCGACUUCAGGGAACCAAUGUGAGAACAAAGACGUCUCGCAGGAAGUUGCUGCUGAAGGUCACCAGCAGGAGGAAACAAGUCCAGAGGAGGAGGAGGAGGAGGAGGAAGAGGAGGGUGGCCUGACUACAAAAGAUCAGGUGU
This 969-nucleotide long non-coding RNA is filed under the name Takifugu rubripes (torafugu). Its description in RNAcentral is "lncRNA (ENSTRUG00000030107.1)". The record is from RNAcentral. Lineage: Eukaryota; Metazoa; Chordata; Actinopteri; Tetraodontiformes; Tetraodontidae.